GAUGAACGCUGGCGGCGUGCCUAACACAUGCAAGUCGAACGAAGCUUGACGGAUGAUUUCUUCGGAAUGAAACCAGAUAUGACUUAGUGGCGGACGGGUGAGUAACACGUGAGCAACCUGCCUCUCAGAGGGGGAUAACGGCUGGAAACGGUCGCUAAUACCGCAUGAAGUGUUCGGAUGGCAUCAUCUGAACGUCAAAGAUUUAUCCGCUGAAAGAUGGGCUCGCGUCUGAUUAGAUAGUUGGUGGGGUAACGGCCUACCAAGUCGACGAUCAGUAGCCGGACUGAGAGGUUGAACGGCCACAUUGGGACUGAGAUACGGUCCAGACUCCUACGGGAGGCAGCAGUGGGGAAUAUUGCACAAUGGGGGAAACCCUGAUGCAGCAACGCCGCGUGAAGGAUGACGGUUUUCGGAUUGUAAACUUCUUUUCUUAGUGACGAAGACAGUGACGGUAGCUAAGGAAUAAGCAUCGGCUAACUAC
Molecule: ribosomal RNA, 481 nt
Filed under: uncultured bacterium
Lineage: Bacteria
Description: bacterial SSU rRNA
Rfam family: Bacterial small subunit ribosomal RNA
Source: RNAcentral